This 77-nucleotide transfer RNA is filed under the name Burkholderiales bacterium. Its description in RNAcentral is "tRNA-Trp". It matches the Rfam family "tRNA". From Rfam's summary of the family: Transfer RNA (tRNA) molecules are approximately 80 nucleotides in length. Lineage: Bacteria; Pseudomonadati; Pseudomonadota; Betaproteobacteria; Burkholderiales. The record is from RNAcentral. RNAcentral also lists the same sequence under 1 other name.
AGGGGCGUAGCUCAGUUGGCUAGAGUGACGGUCUCCAAAACCGUAGGUCGCAGGUUCGAGCCCUGUCGCCCCUGCCA